CUUCGGGCGGGAGGACAGUGGCGAAGGGUGAGUACACGUGAGUAUCUGCUCCGGGUCGGGGACAGCCCGCGGAAACGCGGAUUAUACCCGACGAACCCCUCGGGGUAAAGAGGAAUCGCCCGGAGAUGAGCUCGCGGGCCAUCAGCUGGUUGGCGGGGUAACGGCCCACCAAUGCGACGACGGGUAGGUGGUCUGAGAGGAUGGUCACCCACACUGUGACUGAGACACUGCCCAGACUCCUACGGGAGGCUGCAGUCGAGAAUCAUCCGCAAUGGGCGAAAGCCUGACGGUGCAAUGCCGCGUGGGGGAUGAAGGCCUUCGGGUCGUAAACCCCUGUCAGAAGGGACGAAGCAAGUGACGGUACCUUCAGAGGAAGCCACGGCUAACUACGUGCCAGCAGCCGCGGUAAUACGUAGGUGGCGAGCGUUAUUCGGAUUUACUGGGCGUAAAGGGUCCGCAGGGGGUUUGCCAAGUCCGGUGUGAAAGUCCAGGGCUCAACCCUGGAACUGCGCCGGAUACUGGUGAACUGGAGUGCGCGAAGGGCAGGCGGAAUUCCUGGUGUAGCGGUGGAAUGCGUGGAUAUCAGGAAGAACACCGACGGCGAAAGCGGCCUGCUGGCGCGCCACUGACCCUCAUGGACGAAAGCGUGGGGAGCAAACAGGAUUAGAUACCCUGGUAGUCCACGCUGUAAACGGUGCAGACCCGAUGCGGGGGGCAGCCCCCUCCGUGUCCAAGCCAACGCGUUAAGUCUGCCGCCUGGGGACUACGGUCGCAAGGCUAAAACUCAAAGGAAUUGACGGGGGCCCGAACAAGCGGUGGAGCAUGUGGU
RNAcentral lists this ribosomal RNA (829 nucleotides) under uncultured organism. RNAcentral describes it as "bacterial SSU rRNA". It matches the Rfam family "Bacterial small subunit ribosomal RNA", at positions 78 to 945 of the family's 1533-position model. The record is from RNAcentral.